UGCUUUUAUUAGCAAUAUUAUUAAUCUCUCAUGUCACUAUUAAAAGAUAAAAUACCAAAUAUGAUCAUGUUUCUCACCAUAAUGUUUAUAAAGAUACUGGAAAACAUCCUCUGCCACAUAAACAUAACCAUCAAAACAAAAUUUUUCCUCAUAGUUAGGAACUAAGCGUGUAAGCAGCAUGCCAAAACUUGACACAACAAGAACACUACACUAGUAGAUCCACCUAAAAUCAGAUUCCACUUUUAAAGUCCAACUUCAUAAAAAGUGCAAUAAUUUAAAAUCAUUAUUAUGGAAUACACAUACAUGCACAUUUACCUAAAAG
RNAcentral lists this unclassified non-coding RNA (322 nucleotides) under Hevea brasiliensis (rubber tree). The record is from RNAcentral. Lineage: Eukaryota; Viridiplantae; Streptophyta; Magnoliopsida; Malpighiales; Euphorbiaceae.